Aricia agestis (brown argus) is the source of this 1080-nucleotide long non-coding RNA. RefSeq lists it as uncharacterized. NCBI's taxonomy places the organism in Eukaryota, Metazoa, Arthropoda, Insecta, Lepidoptera, Lycaenidae. The record is from RefSeq and is a predicted model, not a curated record. The transcript has 2 exons.
CAAAAUUAUUCUGAUGUGCAUUUAAUAAUAUCCCUAUUUUUUAUACUUUUCGUAACACUUACUACUUAUGAAAGUGAUAACAUUCAUUAACUUUAGGCUUAUCUUUAACCCAAAUCUGAGCAAGUUGGCCUUAACCAAACAAAGUAUCAAUAACGAAAUUUUACAUCUAUUCCACGUCGCUGCGAAUUGUAGUUUCUUCCAUACAUUUUAUUAUUUCCGAAGAUCGUUAUCGUUAUUGCACUUUGUUUAAGCCCCCGAUAACGUAGAAUGUAGAUUAAGAGUAACCUAGGGGCCUUUGCACACUGCCGUACUUAUCAAAAGUACAAAGAGUAAGCAUCGAAUUACCUGAAAAUUAACCCAUAUUUAAUUGGGUUUGUGCUAGUCAUAGAUUAUAGAGUACGCAGUGUGAAGCGGCCCUAACGCAUAUAUCAGUUAUUGUCUAUUGAUUUUUGUGACACAUAUAGUGGAGAGGCAUAUAUGUAUUAGAUAUCGUACAUAUCCUUUAUGGCGCUGUAAACUAUCUGACUGCUGCAUGUAAUAACUUCAUGUUUUUCAAACACAUGUUUUAAUGUCGGUAACGUAUAUUGUUUUUAUACGCGAGAUAGUAUCGUUAUCUAUUUUGAUGUAUUAUUCCACGAAUGAGCGUAAUUAUGUAGCGAGUACGGCUUCCCUUAUCUAUUUUUGACUGGCAUCGAUGAAAAUGAACGUUUUCGAGUAGCUCCUGUUGAGAUAAAAACUUAUUGAUGUUACUAUGAGUAUAUAAAGUAUAUUGCACACACCCGAAAUUCUAAUCAUUGCACGCGCUUGUAGUUUAGUUAAAUAAUGUGACAUUAAAUAUAUUUCUUCGAACUAAUAAAGCUUUUUGUUUUAUCUCUUGUGACUUACGGCAUGAUUUAACGUUUUACAGAUUUGUUCCCAAGAAUAUAAGCAUUUACUAAUGAAGCUUCAAAAUGCAUGUGACUGAUUAACAAAUAUUUGCUAUUUUAUUUUUAUAACUUGCAUGAGAGUAUAUACUUUUGAAAUUAAUAAACAUAUUUUAAGAGAAAUUUUGUUUGAUUUAAGUGCUUUUAUUUAAUCGUU